UUUUCUUGCCUAAUUGUUCUGGCUAUGACUUUUCAGUACUAUGUUGAAUAACAUUUAAAAUUUGACAUAAAAAGCAAAGUGGCCCCAAGAAAGCGGUUUGAAACUAAAUGUUGAGCACUCGAUGAGACCAUGGGAACAACUUCCUCCUUUUUAUGUAGCCCUAUGUGGGUAAUGUAGGCUUUAGAAGCAAUCCCAACUUACUAUUGAUUGCUGUGUCACAAGCCACCUCAAAACUUAAGAGGCUUAAACAAUAAUCACUCUGUCAUGGUUUCUAUGGGUCAGGAAUUUGGGAAAGGCUCUCCUUGGCAAUUCUAAUGCAGGGUGUCUGAUGCACUUCCAGUUAGUACCUGGAGCUGGAAUAGCAGGAGGCUGGAAUACUAGCGACUGGCCAGGCACCUCUCUCUGCUUGUAGUUUCAGGGCCUCUCCAUGUAGGUUGGUUUGGGCUUCCUCACAGCAUGUCAGACUCAGGGUGAUGCUCAAGGACUACCAGAGCUUGUGUUCCAACAAAUCAGCUGGCAAGCUGCAUUGCCUGUUAUGACCUAGCCUUGGAAGUCACAUGGCAUUACUUUUGUCAUAUUAUCCAGUCACCUCUUGAUCUGAAGGAUGUCAGAGACUUUACUGACAUUUUACAACUGUCACAUUCACCUUAAGAAGCCCAUUUGGUAUGGAAGGCAAGACCAGUCCAGAUGGCACCAUCAGAAUAACACCAAAAGACAUAACUGCAGUGGGAGUGUUGGUGGACUUUCCUUCUUGGCAAUGGCAAGACUACCCCCUCCAGAGUGUGGUAUUAACAGGAGUUUAUGUCAAUUUCCAACUUGGAAAUAUCAGGUGGUACAUAUGAAUCAAACUCUUGGUUGAAGAGCUAAACUCACUAUAACUGGGAAGGCUAACAGCUAAAUUAUGCUCACAUGAACCAAGAGACUUGCAACCUUUAUUUCAAGCUUUUUUCGAAAACCUGCGAACACAUUUCACACUAAAAGAGUUAUUAGCAGCUGAGAACCUGUCCUGGCUUUGGAAAUGGAUUUGACUCAAUCUUGGAAUACAAGCUGUGCCAAGAAGCACCAUGG
Myotis brandtii (Brandt's bat) is the source of this 1068-nucleotide long non-coding RNA. RefSeq lists it as uncharacterized. The transcript is spliced from 3 exons. NCBI's taxonomy places the organism in Eukaryota, Metazoa, Chordata, Mammalia, Chiroptera, Vespertilionidae. The record is from RefSeq and is a predicted model, not a curated record.